CACGGGGUAGAUCAGGUGGCGGAUCGCCCGGCUGGUAACCGGGAGGGCGUCGGUUCGAGUCCGGCCCCCGUGUCCA
RNAcentral lists this transfer RNA (76 nucleotides) under Actinosynnema pretiosum. RNAcentral's name for it is "tRNA-Thr". It matches the Rfam family "tRNA". From Rfam's summary of the family: Transfer RNA (tRNA) molecules are approximately 80 nucleotides in length. Their secondary structure includes four short double-helical elements and three loops (D, anti-codon, and T loops). Lineage: Bacteria; Bacillati; Actinomycetota; Actinomycetes; Pseudonocardiales; Pseudonocardiaceae. The record is from RNAcentral.